UGUAUGGUUAAGUGACUAAGCGUACACGGUGGAUGCCUUGGCAGUCAGAGGCGAUGAAAGACGUAGUAACUUGCGAUAAGCCCAGAUUAGGUAGUAACAACCAUUUGAGUCUGGGAUUUCUGAAUGGGGAAACCCACGUGCAUAAGCACGUAUCCUUACCUGAAUACAUAGGGUAAGGAGGCGAACCGGGGGAACUGAAACAUCUAAGUACCCCGAGGAAAAGAAAUCAACCGAGAUUCCGAAAGUAGCGGCGAGCGAAAUUGGACUAGCCCUUAAGCUUUACACGCGUUAGACGAACGGUCUGGAAAGUCCGACGAUACAGGGUGAUAGUCCCGUAGUUGACGACGUGUGUUCAGUGAAAUCGAGUAGGGCGGGACACGUGAUAUCCUGUCUGAAUAUGGGGGGAC
RNAcentral lists this ribosomal RNA (407 nucleotides) under Vibrio parahaemolyticus. RNAcentral's name for it is "partial 23S ribosomal RNA". It matches the Rfam family "Bacterial large subunit ribosomal RNA", at positions 1 to 453 of the family's 2925-position model. The record is from RNAcentral. Lineage: Bacteria; Pseudomonadati; Pseudomonadota; Gammaproteobacteria; Vibrionales; Vibrionaceae.